UUUAUAAAGAAACGUUAAUGCAAUUAAAUCUAUUCUCAGGUAAAAUAUAUUCGUAACUUUUAAUUCCAUAAAAUCCCGUAGGAAGGGAGUAAUACAGUAAGUGAAACAAGUUUUGCAUAUGUUUUGACCCAUGGAGAGAGGUUCGUUGCCAAAGUUGAAAGGUUGAAGAAGAUGCAAAUUAUUGAUGGAUACAGCCAUACAUUUUAAGUGCUAGAUUUCUGAGUCCAUGUCCGUUUUUAGCGCCCACCAGUCAGUCAACCUCCUCUACAUUCUCAAUUGUACAAAAUACGACCGCCUCUAUUUUUUUUAUCCUUUGUUUUUGUUUGGUUCAAGGGUUUAGUUAGGUAGGAGAGAAUCAUCAAUCAUCAGUUCAACAUUCAGCAUCUCACACCGACCUCCUACUAAGAUUUGUGUAAGAUUUAAGGUACGUUGAUUUCAAACCACAAGAGUUUAAUUCAUUCGUAUACUUCAUUUCAUAUAAAUUUAACGAACAAUAUCAAGUGGGGUGAUCUAGUCUGGACUAAAGAAUUUUCUAUGAAUUCAGUCUUCCUAUCAUUCAUUUCUCGACUACUCAAAUUCACCGGCACAGACUCCCCAAUUAUCAUUGCAGUCAAUUCUGAACAAUAAGACCAAUCACAGGAGGGCUCCGACCCGAUGUUGUUCAGUUUUAAUCAAUCAUGAUGGGAGGAUGGUGUACAAAUUCAAGUUGUAACUUCAACCAAAACCAAAUCAAAUGAUUCAGUUUGUUUAUUUAUGAACAUAAAAUAAAUAGAAGUAAGCUUGGCUCUUUUACUAUUGUGGUACCAGAUUUUCCAGCAACAAUUACUAUCAGGGGAAAAAGGGGUAAGAACAAAAGUGAAUAUGUACAUAAUAAUCAGGGCAACGAAAAUGUAAGAAAAGGAGCAGAAAUUCAAGAGGGAGUCAGAUAAUCAAGUGCAGAACAUCAAUGACAAUAAGCAUAAUAAAACUGAAACUCCAUCAGACUCACCUUUAGUUUCAAGUGACAAGCUAACAAAUGAGCAUUCGCAAGCGCCCACAAAAUUAGUAGCAGACAGCUUAAAUAAGAGGAGAAGAGCUAGAACUUCAAGCAUCUUAAAACGUAGAAAAGAAACUAGCGUACCAAUUUCUGAAAGAAGGCUGGAUUACCUGUAUGACUGAAACGUAUCUCCACUCUCUCAACUGGUGGACUACAUACCAGUCCAGCUAAGCCCUAAUGGGAGCAAACAAGUUGAUAUUCAGAAGAUGAU
RNAcentral lists this long non-coding RNA (1247 nucleotides) under Carica papaya (papaya). Its description in RNAcentral is "long non-coding RNA (CPAP_LNC012875)". The record is from RNAcentral. Lineage: Eukaryota; Viridiplantae; Streptophyta; Magnoliopsida; Brassicales; Caricaceae.